RNA transcript from Myxocyprinus asiaticus (Chinese sucker), 3293 nucleotides. It is a transcript of the gene named neutrophil cytosolic factor 1-like, with no coding region annotated. Lineage: Eukaryota; Metazoa; Chordata; Actinopteri; Cypriniformes; Catostomidae. The transcript is spliced from 14 exons. The record is from RefSeq and is a predicted model, not a curated record.
AACUCUAUAAACCACAGGUGAUCUGAACAACUCUCCUAGAUUCCUUCAGCUAUCGGGCAAGUCUCUUUUUGUAGUUUUGCAGGAUGGCUGAAACAUACGUGUUACAUGUGGAACUGUUGGGCUUUGAGAAAAGGUUCUUUCCCAGCCAGCAUUAUGUGUACAUGCUCUUGGUUAAAUGGAGUGAUCAGUCUGAAAAGCUGAUUUACAGACGGUAUCCAGAAAUCUACACUUUUCAUAAAGUGUUGAAGGAAAUGUUCCCUAUUGAGGCAGGAGACAUUGAUGAAAAGGACAGAAUCAUUCCUUCAUUACCCGCUCCAAAAUGGCUGGACAAUCAGAAAACAACAGAGACAAGGCAGGUGACUCUUGCUGAAUACUGUCGUGCUCUGCUCAACCUGCCUCCAAAGAUCUCAGGCUGUCAUCUUGUUCUUGACUUCUUCAAAAUGCGUGUCGAAGAUGAAUCUCCACCAGCCCCACACCCAUACAAAAGAAAUGAGACAUUCAUUAUGUGCACCAAUAGAUCAUGGAGCAACACCUCAUCAGAAAUCACAGGACCUAUCAUGCUUGAGAGCUACAGAGCGAUCGCAGACUACAGCAAGAGCUCAAAGUAUGAACUCACUCUGAGGGCAGGAGAUAUGGUGGACAUAGUGGAGAAAAGCCCAAAUGGCUGGUGGUUUUGUCAGUGUGAGUCUAAGAGAGGCUGGGUUCCAGCUUCAUACUUAGAACCGCUGGAUGGAGCAGAUGAAUCAGAGGAACCAGAGCCUAAUUACACAGGAGAGCUCUACAAAACCAUAAAAGGAUAUACAGGUGUAGAAGAAGAUGAGUUGACUCUUGAGGCAGGAGAGACUAUUGAGGUCAUCCAUAAACUUCUGGAUGGCUGGUGGGUGGUCAGGAAAGGAGAAGAUACAGGCUACUACCCAUCCAUGUUCCUAUGCAGGACAGGAGAGAAGAAAGAGGUGGAUGCUGAGAAGGACGUGGUCAGAAGAUCAACCCCACCACCAAGAAGAUCUACCAUACGCAACGCCCAGAGCAUCUAUACUAAGGGACGUCACCAAAUCAGUCAGGACACCUAUCGUAAGCAGAGUCGACAGUUCUUACAGCAGCGAGGAAGACUAAAUUCACAGUCCAAGAACGUGACAAGAUCUCCACUGCAAAAGAGGAAGACAAACAGAGAGAAAAUUGCAAAAUCAGACUCAUCCAAAGCAGAAGAUCUGGACCAAAAUACUCCAGUCAUUCCUCCCCGGCCCAGUCCUCAGCUCAUUCUGGAGCGCUGCACUGAGAACACAUGCAAGAGAGUCAGCAUACAUGAAGGUGACUAUUAUGACAUUAAUCAACAUUCGCUGCUGUGGCAGACAUGGCUGGCAUAUAGGUCUCCGUGCAUAUGCCACGCCCCACUAGCACCCCAAGGAGGAAUAAGCAGCAAGAUGACAGACCCGUGUUCCAGUAUGUCGGUCAACACAGGAAGCCCAAAGAGAAAGUGUUUGUAUGUGGCUUCAGCUACACAGGUGCUUUAGGAAUCCCUAGUUUUGUAGUGCCUGACAGUGGCAGGAAAAAGCCCAGGAAGUACCAGCUCACACCUGGAUACUGAACAGAAGAUUUCCUCAGCUGCUUGUGGAUAUGGCUUCACCCUGCUGGCAUCUAAUACCAGAGACCUGACCAUUUGUGGGGCAUAGGCCUGAACAAAGAUUCCCAACUGGGCUUUCAACGUACACAACAAGACAAACAUAAGAGUUAUGACUGUGUCCCGGAGCCGUCUCCAGUGUCUCUCCCUCUCUCACAGACUUUGAGGGAGGUGAGGAAACAUUGGGUCAUUGUCAUAUUAACAUUCUGAGAUGUGAUGUGCAGAUUUAUUGUCAUUUUUUCAUUGAAUGUCGGAGUCGUGACGCAGUGAGUGUGCAAGUGCUCAGGACACAUGAGUCAUGUGCCUAUCGGGUUCCACCUCAAUUUCUCGACCUUCAUGUCUGCUCUCUACUCUCUUGUUAAUAAAUGCACAACAUUUUUUUACGUUUUAUAAAAAAGUUUUUUAUAAGUUUUGUAUUAAAUAUCCUAGUUAACAUGGCUCUCAAUGUUUGGUUAGCAUUUUUGCUUGGAGACACUUCACAAAAAGGUCUAUGAUCUUUUCUGAAACCUUUAAAUUCCUUUCAUAUUCUGCAUAAAUGUAUUAAAAUAAAAAGAUUCCUGAUUAAAAAACAUUGGUAACACUUUACAAUAAGGUUUAAUUUGUUAACUUUAGUUAACUACAAUAGUUAAGAUGAACUAACAAUGUUGUUAAAAACAUUAACAAAGAUUCAUAAAUGCUGCAAAAAAAUUAUUGUUCAUUGUUAGUUCAUGAUAUCUAAUGCAGGAACCCUAUUGUAAAGUGUUACCAAAACAUUUAGAUAAAAUAGCUUUUCAGUUAUUUUUUAUCUGAUUUUCCUUUUUUGCUGACGUCACUUAGGCCAUGCGAGCUGUUGGAUAAAGUUAACCAAUAGCCAAAUAGCUUUUUAGGCAUUGUUUUAGCAAACCUGCAUUCAGGUGUGACGCCAUUCUGGUGUGGGAUAGCCAUUUUUUCAUGAUCCAAUCCACUCGGAAAUGUGUCACAUUACAAAUAAAAGAGGUUGUGAAUGGGAAAAAAUAGCAUGCUAUGAAUCCACAGACAGCUUUAGUAUUUUUUUUUAUUAAUCAGCAGUGAUAACCCUUAAAUUUUCUGUUUUAUGGAAAUUCAAUAUUUCUUAUAUUAAAUGUAAUCUUGCAGUAUAAUUCCCUAUCAGUCAUUAUAACAGAGUAUAAACAUAGACUAUUUAGCCCUGAAACGGAGCACUUGUAUUAAAAUGAGUGGAAGAAAUUGGAAUGGAUGUAGAAAAAUUUCUACCUUUCAGAUACAGACGUUGCCUCUUAGUUAACUCGAGAACAUGCAUGCGCAUUAGCAGGACCAGACUGAAAAAUUGCGUGUUUGAGCUGAAGCAGCACAAUUUAUGACAUUAUUUUUGUCAGAUUUUACUGCAGAUUUGAAGUAUGUGAUUUGAUUGUAAUCUUGACCAACCGUUUUUUGAGAUUUCAGUCUUUCCUCAUUCAAGUAUAUAGGAGCUGUACAUUUUUUGCUGCUUAUAUCCAUAGAAAAUGGCUGCCCAGGAGCAUUCCAAAGAUGGCACCCAGUGGACUGACUUGCCUUGAAAGAAACUUUUGUACAAACGGUCCUGUUUCUGUUGUCCAGUAGGUGGCUUGUGGGCAGGAUCACAGUCUAUUUGUAACAGAGAGAGGCUCUGUGUAUGCCUGUGGGUGGGGGGCAGAUGGACACACAGCUUGGUUUCAUCAUC